UACAGAGGGUGCAAGCGUUGUUCGGAAUUAUUGGGCGUAAAGGGCGCGUAGGCGGUGCGGUAAGUCUGUAGUGAAAUCUCUGGGCUCAACUCAGAGUCUGCUGCAGAAACUGCCGUGCUUGAGUGUGGGAGAGGUGAGUGGAAUUUCCGGUGUAGCGGUGAAAUGCGUAGAUAUCGGAAGGAACACCUGUGGCGAAAGCGGCUCACUGGACCAUUACUGACGCUGAUGCACGAAAGCGUGGGUAGCAAACAGG
This 253-nucleotide ribosomal RNA is filed under the name uncultured bacterium. RNAcentral's name for it is "partial 16S ribosomal RNA". It matches the Rfam family "Bacterial small subunit ribosomal RNA", at positions 524 to 776 of the family's 1533-position model. The record is from RNAcentral.